AGUGAACGCUGGCGGUAGGCCUAACACAUGCAAGUCGAACGGCAGCACAGUAAGAGCUUGCUCUUACGGGUGGCGAGUGGCGGACGGGUGAGGAAUACAUCGGAAUCUACUUUUUCGUGGGGGAUAACGUAGGGAAACUUACGCUAAUACCGCAUACGACCUACGGGUGAAAGCAGGGGAUCUUCGGACCUUGCGCGAUUGAAUGAGCCGAUGUCGGAUUAGCUAGUUGGCGGGGUAAAGGCCCACCAAGGCGACGAUCCGUAGCUGGUCUGAGGAUGAUCAGCCACACUGGAACUGAGACACGGUCCAGACUCCUACGGGAGGCAGCAGUGGGGAAUAUUGGACAAUGGGCGCAAGCCUGAUCCAGCCAUACCGCGUGGGUGAAGAAGGCCUUCGGGUUGUAAAGCCCUUCUGUUGGGAAAGAAAAGCAGCAGGUUAAUACCCCGCUGUUCUGACGGUACCCAAAGAAUAAGCACCGGCUAACUUCGUG
RNAcentral lists this ribosomal RNA (490 nucleotides) under uncultured bacterium. RNAcentral's name for it is "partial 16S ribosomal RNA". It matches the Rfam family "Bacterial small subunit ribosomal RNA", at positions 29 to 507 of the family's 1533-position model. The record is from RNAcentral.